Molecule: long non-coding RNA, 258 nt
Organism: Heteronotia binoei (common prickly gecko)
Lineage: Eukaryota; Metazoa; Chordata; Lepidosauria; Squamata; Gekkonidae
Exons: 3
Source: RefSeq, a predicted model, not a curated record
CCAAGAACAGUGAAGUGAGUCCAGAGAUUAAGCAACAGUUGACAACAAUUGGAGAGAGUCAAGGCAUGAUGAGUGAUAACAUUGUCUUCUUCUCCAGUGGAGUGGCCUGUCAAGAUGAGGCAUAGGGGGAGGAGGCGUCUUCUGCCGAUUCCCCAGGAGAUUCCAGCAGUGACAUGAUAAACUCCCUUUCCUGUGCCAUGUGGUUUUGACCUUGCCCACUCAGACUUGGGACAGAAGGCCCCUCAUGCUAUUAAUAAA